Molecule: ribosomal RNA, 546 nt
Filed under: uncultured bacterium
Lineage: Bacteria
Description: bacterial SSU rRNA
Rfam family: Bacterial small subunit ribosomal RNA
Source: RNAcentral
GGGGAAUAUUGCGCAAUGGGGGGAACCCUGACGCAGCCAUGCCGCGUGAAUGAAGAAGGCCUUAGGGUUGUAAAGUUCUUUCGGUAUUGAGGAAGGUUGAUGUGUUAAUAGCACAUCAAAUUGACGUUAAAUACAGAAGAAGCACCGGCUAACUCCGUGCCAGCAGCCGCGGUAAUACGGAGGGUGCGAGCGUUAAUCGGAAUAACUGGGCGUAAAGGGCACGCAGGCGGUUAUUUAAGUGAGGUGUGAAAGCCCUGGGCUUAACCUAGGAAUUGCAUUUCAGACUGGGUAACUAGAGUACUUUAGGGAGGGGUAGAAUUCCACGUGUAGCGGUGAAAUGCGUAGAGAUGUGGAGGAAUACCGAAGGCGAAGGCAGCCCCUUGGGAAUGUACUGACGCUCAUGUGCGAAAGCGUGGGGAGCAAACAGGAUUAGAUACCCUGGUAGUCCACGCUGUAAACGCUGUCGAUUUGGGGGUUGGGGUUUAACUCUGGCGCCCGUAGCUAACGUGAUAAAUCGACCGCCUGGGGAGUACGGCCGCAAGGUUA